This 460-nucleotide ribosomal RNA is filed under the name uncultured bacterium. RNAcentral's name for it is "partial 16S ribosomal RNA". It matches the Rfam family "Bacterial small subunit ribosomal RNA", at positions 338 to 795 of the family's 1533-position model. The record is from RNAcentral.
CCUACGGGGUGCAGCAGUGAGGAAUAUUGGUCAAUGGGCUUACGCCUGAACCAGCCAAGUCGCGUGAGGGACGACUGCCCCAUGGGUUGUAAACCUCUUUUGUCAGGGAGCAACGCCGGCCACGUGUAGCUGGACUGAGAGUAUCUGAAGAAAAAGCUCCGGCUACUUCCGUGCCAGCAGCCGCGGAAAUACGGAGGAUGCGAGCGUUAUCCGGAUUGUUUGGGUUUAAAGGUUCCGUAGGCGGCAUGUGAAGUCAGCGGUAAAACCGCGGGGCUCAACCCCGCUCCGCCGUUGAAACUGGCGGUCUUGAGUGGGCGAGAGGUAUGCGGAAUGCGUGGUGUAGCGGUGAAAUGCGUAGAUAUCGCGCAGAACUCCGAUUGCGAAGGCAGCAUACCGGCGCCGAACUGACGCUGAGGCACGAAAGCGUGGGUAUCGAACAGGAUUAGAUACCCGAGUAGUC